This is a long non-coding RNA of Capra hircus (goat), 1092 nucleotides long. RefSeq lists it as uncharacterized. Lineage: Eukaryota; Metazoa; Chordata; Mammalia; Artiodactyla; Bovidae. The record is from RefSeq and is a predicted model, not a curated record. The transcript is spliced from 4 exons.
UGGGCGGCGGGGAUGGAGAGGACGGUGGCGCCCCGUUACGGGCUCCGGAUGGGAGGCCGAGCGCCCGCCUGCCCCAGGGCCCGCCUGCGACCGAGCCCCGCGCCCGGCGUCUCCGCCCGGGGUGCUCUCCGCAGUUUCCUGGCUUGGAAGCCUCGGGAACAUGGCGAGGCAGCGGUGGCUUAACGGGAAGGAUGGCGACUGUUAGCCUGUGAACGAAGGUGAGAGUGAGCAGCCUCAUGCUCCUGACCAAGCUUCUCCACUGGAGCGGGGCCGGGGUGAUGUGGACUUGCCGGAAGUCAGUGGCAGCAGGUCCAGUCUGUCCACCUUUGAGCCUGGUGGCGGCAUGUCCUUCCCCACCCUCUUGAGGACCCCCACUGGCUGAACCCCCUGGAAACUGCGUGGAAUGUUCGGGGGAUGAGGCUGAGGAGGCUUGUCUCUGCCUUCCGGAACCCCGCUGCUGUCCUGAGGUCUCCACCCAAGGUGGGAACCCCGGAGAGCAGCCCAGCAGCCAUGCGCCGCCAGACCCGAGGGCAGUACAGAGCCUGGGAGAGGCAUGGCCUUGGAAGUUCCUCUGAAGAACGUGCGGGCUUAUCGCAUUGUGUGUUGAAAAGCAGUAGCAGCGUGUGCUUCUGCCCCUGGUGUGGCUCAGCAGGGUUGGGGCAGCGGCUCUGCGCGAUACAGAAGCUUGAACAGAGGCCACGUGGAACUCAGAACCAGAGAUGACAGCCCAGCAACAGGGUCAGGGCUGGGGCGGGGGCAGGAAGGCGCCCGAAGGCAGUGGUGUCCGCCUGCAGUGGCCACAGCCCUGCAGGCACCCCAGGGCAUGGUCCUGAAGUCCUCCAGCUGGGAGGUGCAGGAUCUUCUUUGCAGGCCCACCCCACAGGCCUGAGCUGUCUCUGGAUUAUACCCCCGCCCGAGGGGAGAAUGUCAAUGAGGUUUGCAAAUUAGUCUGGAGUGUCUCACAGCUGGAACCUUGAGACCCCUGCUUUCAGCACAGGUUGUUACAGUGAAUGGAAAGAUCUCCUGUCUUGGUGAAGGAGCAUGUCCCCAUGUUGGCACAACUAUAAAGAAUAAAUGGAUCUUGAGUAAACU